AAUAUUUGUGUACAUCAAAGAAGGAAUGUACUGAUAUCUCUAAGACGUGUUUCCGAACUUGGGCAGAACAGUAUGGCAUAUGUGUAUGUAAACCUGAAUAUAUAGAAUUUGGAACCGAAUGUUUGAAAGGAAAUUUGAAACUGGGAGACCAAUGCAAGCAAAAUGAGCAGUGUUCCGUGACAUCUGGUUCCGUUUGUAAGAACGAUACAUGUGUCUGUAGGCCAGGAUAUGUCCAAUUUAGUGAUUCAGAGUGCUUUUCAUCAAGCCUCACAAAAGAUUUGUGUACAUCGACUGAAGAGUGUCAAGAUGUAUCUAAGACAUGUUCAUUGACAGGAAAAGUCGGUGUAUGUGUAUGCAAACAUGGGUAUAUAGGAUUCGGAAAC
Molecule: long non-coding RNA, 383 nt
Organism: Saccostrea cuccullata (small rock oyster)
Lineage: Eukaryota; Metazoa; Mollusca; Bivalvia; Ostreida; Ostreidae
Exons: 3
Source: RefSeq, a predicted model, not a curated record